GCGAGCGGACUUGCGAUUGACAUAAUUUCUUCGUUCGGACUCGGAAUUGAGCGAUUCUCGUUGCGUUGGAAAGAGGAAAGGAUUGUCUAUCAAUCCUAAGCAUCAUAUCAAGAUGUGACAGACUAUCGAGCUACGAGUAUGACGAACCAAGAAGCUCGAUGAGGAUUGACGGACCAGUCUCCUGGAGCUUACGUUCGGAUAUAAGGAAUAGCGGUCACAGUAUUAGAAGUCGGAUCAGACAAGCCAUCUCCAUUGUGCCAAAAGUCAUUGGACUUGCACAAAUAUGAGUUCCUAGAGCUGCAGUAGUCAGUAGGUGUCAGUAUAAGGAUAGCGAUUUAAUUUCAAAUAGUUUAUUUUGAAUGUAAACUCUAAUAUAAUACUUUGAUAUCUAUAAGUAUGUUAUCUAAAAGAGUUUUCUGAAAAUAUUCUAUAUAUAUGAUAAUAUGUUU
This is a long non-coding RNA of Mercurialis annua (annual mercury), 449 nucleotides long. RefSeq lists it as uncharacterized. The record is from RefSeq and is a predicted model, not a curated record. Lineage: Eukaryota; Viridiplantae; Streptophyta; Magnoliopsida; Malpighiales; Euphorbiaceae. The transcript has 3 exons.